Molecule: long non-coding RNA, 2724 nt
Filed under: Triticum aestivum (bread wheat)
Lineage: Eukaryota; Viridiplantae; Streptophyta; Magnoliopsida; Poales; Poaceae
Description: long non-coding RNA (TAES_LNC014747)
Source: RNAcentral
UUUGUUCCAGAAGCCACGAAAUUGAGGUACGCAGAAGAUGAACAAACCUGAGAACUGAUGAUCCAAAGAAGAGUCGGAGCUCGAGCAUCACAUAGUCGUCAGCUAUGGUGGCUUGUAGGCGGAUGUGUCUCACACCUAAGUUUUUGCCGCUGGACCGUGGUUACGUUCAUCCUAGCUUGGAGGCAACGGUGUGGGUGGGUAUGCAUGUGCAGGGCGAAGAAGUGGACGAAGGCCGAAGAAGCAAUCUCUGCCUCCCUAUCGCUGCGUCCUGCUCCUCAAUAUGUCACCUUAGUCAUGGCCGCCUUAUCCCUCAUGCUGCUGAUUUGAAUCUGCCCUACUCUUCUUCUCCUAGACUGCUCGAGCGCUUCAGCGGGUGCCUUGCCGACGACAGGGAAGGAAGGACCAGAGUAAGUAUAAUAUGGAAGUUCCUGUUCAAAUUAGUAGAAUAUGCUUACCAGGUGUUAGAAUUUAUAGAUAUAUACCACAAUUUUCACUACAGAUUAAAUAUAAUAUGAAAGUUCUUGUCAGUUUUCUUUGUAGUUAGUUUGCGACAAUCACAACAUGAUCAUUUGAAUAUUUUGUUGUAACAAAUCUAUUAUAGCUAUUGUUGUGAAAGAAAAAUCCUUAAAAAAUCACCCAAUAGCAACCCGAGGAAGUUAAGAGACAUAAAUGAUCCAGAUAUGGUUCCAUUAUGCUCCCUCUGUUUGAUAAUAUAUGACGUUUUCUGGCAGUACACAAUGCCAAAAACGUCUUAUAUUAUGGGACAGAAGCGAGUUUGUGAUUCUUUUGGUUAUUCUUGAUUCCACAUGCUUCAUUUGGGUGAAUAAUCCAUUGGCAUCCAAAUUUGGAGAUUAAUUCACCUAUUUAAUGUGCAUAGUCAAUGACACAUUUUUGCUAUGAUGAAUAUGUAAAUAAAUUUUGUACAAUUCCAUAAAUACACAGUUAAGCGUUUUUGUUGUAAAGAUAAUGUAGAUAAUUUUUAUAGCUUUGCAAAUAAGAUUAACCUUGGUGUAUAAAUCCGAUCAGAGUAGAGGUAGCUAUGCAAUGGUCUUGCGUCACAUCAUUAGUCUAAGGCUCUAACCACAUUCAUGGAGAAUCUAACAUCCCAACUACGCAUAUCUGUUUGUUCCGGAAGCCAAGAAAUUGAGGGACGCAGAAGAUGAACAAACCUGAGAAUUGAUGAUCGAAUGAAGAGUCGGAGCUCGAGCAUCACAUAGCCGUCAGCUAUGGUGGCUUGUGGGCGGAUGUUUCUCAGACCUAAGUUGUUGCCGCUGGACCGUGGUUACAUUCAUCCUAGCUUGGAGGAAACGGUGCGGGAAGAUAUGCAUGUGCAGGGCGAAGAAGUGGACGAAGGCCGAAGUAGCAAUCUCUGCCUCCCUAUCGCUGCGUCCUUCUCCUCAAUAUGUCACCUUAGUCAUGGCCGCCUUAUCCCUCAUGCUGCUGAUUUGAAUCUGCCCUACUCUUCUUCUCCUAGACUGCUCGAGCGCUUCAGCGGGUGCCUUCCCAACGACAGGGAAGGAAGGACCAGAGUAAGUAUAAUAUGGAAGUUCCUGUUCAAAUUAGUAGAAUAUGCUUACCAGGUGUUAGAAUUUAUAGAUAUAUACCACAAUUUUCACUACAGAUUAAAUAUAAUAUGAAAGUUCUUGUCAGUUUUCUUUGUAGUUAGUUUGCGACAAUCACAACAUGAUCAUUUGAAUAUUUUGUUGUAACAAAUCUAUUAUAGCUAUUGUUGUGAAAGAAAAAUCCUUAAAAAAUCACCCAAUAGCAACCCGAGGAAGUUAAGAGACAUAAAUGAUCCAGAUAUGGUUCCAUUAUGCUCCCUCUGUUCGAUAAUAUAUGACGUUUUCUGGCAGUACACAAUGCCAAAAACGUCUUAUAUUAUGGGACAGAAGCGAGUUUGUGAUUUUUUUGGUUAUUCUAGAUUCCACAUGCUUCAUUUGGGUGAAUAAUCCAUUGGCAUCCAAAUUUGGAGAUUAAUUCACCUAUGUAAUGUGCAUAAUCAAUGACACAUUUUUGCUAUGAUGAAUAUGUAAAUAAAUUUUGUACAAUUCCAUAAAUACACAGUUAAGCAUUUUUGUUGUAAAGAUAAUGUAGAUAAUUUUUUAUAGCUUUGCAAAUAAGAUUAACCUUGGUGUAUAAAUCCGAUCAGAGUAGAGGUAGCUAUGCAAUGGUCUUGCAUCACAUCAUUAGUCUAAGGCUCUAACCACAUUCAUGGAGAAUCUAACAUCCCAACUACGCAUAUCUGUUUGUUCCAGAAGCCAAGAAAUUGAGGUACGCAGAAGAUGAACAAACCUGAGAACUGAUGAUCGAAUGAAGAGUCGGAGCUCGAGCAUCACAUAGCCGUCAGCUAUGGUGGCUUGUGGGCGGAUGUUUCUCAGACCUAAGUUGUUGUCGCUGGACCGUGGUUACAUUCAUCCUAGCUUGGAGGCAACGGUGUGGGUGGGUAUGCAUGUGCAGGGCGAAGAAGUGGACGAAGGCCGAAGAAGCAAUCUCUGCCUCCCUAUCGCUGCGUCCUGCUCCUCAAUAUGUCACCUUAGUCAUGGCCGCCUUAUCCCUCAUGCUGCUGAUUUGAAUCUGCCCUACUCUUCUUCUCCUAGACUGCUCGAGCGCUUCAGCGGGUGCCUUGCCGACGACAGGGAAGGAAGGACCAGAGUAAGUAUAAUAUGGAAGUUCCUGUUCAAAUUAGUAGAAUAUGCUUACCAGGUGUUAGAAUUUAUAGAUAUA